UUUUAGCCCGGAUAGCAGCGGCAUCCUCACGGAGUUUACGGAGUGAGAUACAGCGGAUAGCCGGAGCGGGC
Molecule: small RNA, 71 nt
Filed under: Flavobacterium fontis
Lineage: Bacteria; Pseudomonadati; Bacteroidota; Flavobacteriia; Flavobacteriales; Flavobacteriaceae
Description: Flavo-1 RNA
Rfam family: Flavo-1 RNA
Source: Rfam by way of RNAcentral